This 2703-nucleotide long non-coding RNA is filed under the name Mus musculus (house mouse). RNAcentral's name for it is "long non-coding RNA chr8:123389885-123392588". Lineage: Eukaryota; Metazoa; Chordata; Mammalia; Rodentia; Muridae. The record is from RNAcentral.
UGGGAGUUAUGUCUGAGGGACGACUGCUUCCCCCUAGUGUGGAAGACGCCUGUGUGCAGAGCAGUCAGAUCAUGUGUUCAGAGGAAGUGUGUUUGGGACUAAUGGUAUAUAUAGCCUGUCCUCAGAGGAAAGCCACACUCUGCUCUCAGGUCCCUUCUGGGAACUGUGUGCAGGGCAUUGUGGGAUCUUUUCCCAGCUGUAUUUGCCUGUAGCUUCGGUGAUGCCGCACGGGGACUGCUUGGUCCCCUUCUCCCAGGCAGCCUGUCCCUUCUGUGAUGCAGCAGCCUGCGUUCUGUCUGCUCCAUCCUUGGGCCACACUUGAGUUUGCAAUCACUGGGGACAGCGAGAAGGUCAUCCUCUGUGCCUUUGUGUACCUGACCCCUAAAUGCUGUCGUAUUUCUUUGGAGAGAAGAGAAAUUCUGGUUUCCAUUGCUUUUGAUUGGGGCAUAGAGAGCUAAUUAGGACCGUUUCUGAGUUCUCACCUUGAACUAGAUCAGUGGUUCGCCUGAGCCACACCACCACAUACUCUGAGUUAAAAUUGAACUAUGAGUUAGGCAUGGUGGUGCACGCCUUUAAUCCCAGCCCUGGAGAGGCAGGGUCAUGUGGAUUGCUGAGUUAGAGGUCAGCAUGGCAUACAUAGUGAAUUCUAGGCCAGCCAGGGAUACAUAGUGAAGCCCAUAUCUCAAAAAUACAUACAUACAUACAUACAUACAUACAUACAUACAUACAUACAUACAACAAUUAAAAACAAAAAAACAAACUAUGACUUCGUUGUGAUCGUUUGUCCCAGCAUGAGGCAUGGCCUUAUGCCCUUUGGGGAGCAUGUUUCAUGGGGUUUCUCUAGGGCUACGUGCUACCUGCAGCCUUUCUAGGGCUGUCUUCCAUUCCAACAGGUUCUGCUCCAGACAAGCCCCUAUCAUGUGGACUCCCUGCUGCAGCUCAGUGAUGCCUGCCGCUUUCAAGAGGAUCAAGAGAUGGCUCGAGACCUUAUAGGUUAGCCAGCCCCCUGCACCUGCCGCCGAGCAGCUCCGGCUUACGGGCGAUGUUCCAUGAAGUGACAAAGGAUGUUUCAUAGAGAAAGAGUCCAUAUGCCAUAGGAUUCGCUCGUGUAAAAUGUACCGCUCAUUGUAGUUAGUGUAUGCAGCCAUUCAGCCAUCACCACCAUCUGCGUCAGUCAGUUUUAAAGCAGGCCCUACUGUGCUCUGCGGUUGUGCGUGAAGGGUGGAGUCCAUGCGUCGAGAGGCCCUAGCUUGGCAUCCUUCAUUUGCCACCUUUGUGGUCCCAGCUGUAGCAUGUAUCACACUUCUACCUGUUUGUUGCUAUAUAACUCUAUCUGUGUGUAGACCAAAUCUUGUGUAUCUGUCAUCAGUUGAUGGACGUUUAGGUUGUUUCUCCGGCUGUUGGGAAUGUGUCUGUGCAGGUUUUGUGACGAUGCAUGUUGGCGAACAAGUGGGUAUGUGGUAUUAGCAGAUCACAACACCAGUUGUAUCUCCUGGUAUAGGAAGCUCUCCCUCUGCAGCUUACAGAUGUAUGUUGCGCUAAGCUAGAGUCAUUCAGGAAUGCCUAGGAAGUCUGUGUGCCAUCCCUCAUCAGGGUCCCAGUUACAUGACCUCCUUCCUUCCAGAACUUUCCUUGUUGUGAAUUUUUAUAAUCAUUGUGUCUGUGACACCCCCCUCUGGUGUUUGUGGCCCACAGAGAGAGCCCUGUACAGCAUGGAGUGUGCAUUCCACCCCUUGUUCAGUCUCACCAGUGGAACUUGCAGGCUGGAUUAUCGCAGACCUGAGAAUAGGUGAGUCUGGUCCACCCUAGAGUGAGUAACGGGUACCCUCAAGUCACAUGAGUGACUGUUGUGAUACAAGAUUGUCCUGUCCCUGGGGAUGGAGCAGGGCUCUGAAGGUCCAGGGUACCUUUUAAGCUUUGACGUGUUUCCAGCUGAACUGCAGAGGGCUGGCUCAAAGAACCAGGCAUCAGACUGGCCCCAAAUUAAACCUGUUCAAGUUACAAGUGAGCAUAACAAGCCAUGGAGCAGUGAGACCUGGAGUCAUGCUUCUCAUGGCUUUGGAGGGACCCCCCCCCCCCCAUCCCAGGGAGGUUGAAGUUCUGCAGCGCACUUUGUGGCUGUGUCUCCUGGUUCUGAAAUCUGAGAUGAGCUUAGGUUUAGCUUGACUUCAGAGAUCACACAGGGAGCACUCCCUUCUGGCCUUCUCUGAGCCCGACCACCCUCUGGUUUUAGCUCAUGCGUGCCCUUCCUUCCUUCCUCUGCUUCUCUGUAUAUCCCUGGGCUGCCGUAGCAGGCCAUCCCCCACCUCAGUCUCAUCCACUGUCCACUGGUGCACUGAGUGUUGGGUUUGGAGCUCCUUCUCUGGGCUCCCAAGUACUUAUUGCUGUGUCUCUUCUAGUUAAACUCGCACUUCUUUGAAACAGGUUCUGAGUUACGUUCACCAAGAUAACUAAAGCCACCCAGCUUUAUGCAUCUACGUGUAGUGCUAUGACAACUGUUAAGGUUUGAGCAUGUGUUAAGAUUAUAAUUAUACAGGUUUAAUUGCCUGCCUUUUAAAUGGCAAUCUGUAAACAACUAGCAAGAAGACAGAUUUGCAAGCACAAUGGCACGGGCACAGUCUCAGCCCUGAGAGGUCAGCCUUGGUGACAUAGGAAGUUUGGUGCCAGCCUGGGCUAUGUAAGAUCGCCUCUUAAGAAACCAGG